GCCGGGCGCGGUGGUGGGCACCUGUAGUCCCAGCUACUCGGGAGGCUGAGGCAGGAGAAUCUCUUGAACCCAGGAGUUUGAGGUUGCAGUGAGCCAAGAUCAUGCCACUGCACUCCAGCCUGGGUGACAGAGCGAGACUCUGUCUCAA
Molecule: unclassified non-coding RNA, 148 nt
Organism: Macaca fascicularis (crab-eating macaque)
Lineage: Eukaryota; Metazoa; Chordata; Mammalia; Primates; Cercopithecidae
Rfam family: Metazoan signal recognition particle RNA
About the family: The signal recognition particle (SRP) is a universally conserved ribonucleoprotein. It is involved in the co-translational targeting of proteins to membranes.
Source: Ensembl